CAGCAUUACCCAGCGCACACGGCCGGGUGCCGCUGCCGGCUCAGCGUCCCGCCGUGUCCCGGGCGCUGCGGUGGCGGCUGCGCAGCUCGGGUGCUGCCCCGGCUCUUCGGCCUCAGCCCGGCGCGUUUUCCCCGUCGCUUACUGGGUGCCUGACUUUUUUGUCCGACUGAUACCAAAUUCGGGCGAGGAAAGGAGGGAGGGAAAACUUCCGCGGGACAACAAAUCGAAGGAAGACUCAAAGGUCACGGCGUGGAAUUUACCUYGGCGCUGCGCUGCCCGCCGGCUUCCCCGGGGACCGUGAGCCGCUCCGCUGCCUGCGCCGGGGCGGCUUUCGGAGCGGCCCAGCCGGCCGUGGCCCCUUUUUCGGCGACAGGCCCUGACCUCGCACGGGCGACCGCCCACCGCCGCAGGCACCGGUGCUCCUCCGAGGCCGAAGGGUGCCGGGGGCUCCGGCGAGCUGCCGCCCGUCCUGACUGCCCGCUGUCUCGCUGCGCUGCGGCAUUCGGGUUGCUGCGCCGUCUCCUGAGAGUUUGUUCCUCUCCUGACUAACRCAAGGAACGAGUGACCCCACGCCACCAGUGACCUGUAUCUGCGGAUCUUGGGAAACCUGGCAAGAUCACAGCCCUGUUGAAUUCGUAACCCACCCCUGGUUUAGCAGGAAAUACGGUGACUUCGCAGCGUGCCCGGGUCAGGCUGGCYGGCUCCCACCUGCUGCAAGCGCCGCGUCGUCCUUCGCGAAGGGAAGAGCAACAUCUACCGCGUCGCGCGGAGAGCGUUUCCCGGAGCCUGYAACCUCCCGAGCUGGGUUUCGUUCCCUCCCCCUCCAGCCCAGCGCAGGAUCCCCUGGCGUAAAAACAUAACCGGUCACGCAAUGAGCACAUCAAAGCCGGGCGCUGCUGCAGCCGCGCAGAGGGGUGCUGGAGGGGGCUGAUGCCCGCUUGCCGGGCAGGAACGCGGGCGGCCGCGAGCGCCGGCRGGAAAGUGGGUCCAAGAAACCUCGCGCUUCCUCCCGGGAACGCGGCGGCACGCGGCCGACGUGGAGGAAGAGCGCAGCGCAGAGGAAGGGCACGCUGCUGCGGCCGUGCCUCCCCGAGAGCCCGGCCACGGUGCCCGGCGCUGGCCGGGGCUGGUGCCGGGAGAAGCACCUCGUCUGGGCAGCAGAGCUGGAGGAGCAGCUCCCGAGCUCCGGAGCUGACAAACCGGAAAAUAAAUCUGGGAACAAACUGUGUCAUGACAGGCGGACACGAAGAAUAUGCUGGGGUGGCUGCCUUGGUCUGCGGCUCCGGGAGGCCCUCGAAGCGGCCGGGGACCUGCAGCGCUGGGGACAGCGCGAGCCGCAGCACGCUCACGGCAUCCGUGCGCUCACCGGCCCGCUGAGCCYGUGCGGUUGGGUCCCUUCAGAUACCACCGUGGUUUGGACUUGCUGCCAGCAAUGAUGCAYUCGGUUACCCUUGCUUUAUAGGAAGAAAGUAAGGAAAAGGGAGCAAAAAACAAAUUAGCAUUUUUUUUUCCAAAUGAAGAACAAAAUAAUUCCAAUUGAGACUGGGAGGGGUGGGAUCGCGGCCUCAUCCAUCUAUUUCAGCCACUUUGAGAUUAGAUGUAUGCUGGCACAGAGCUGGAAGCACUCGUACCCUCCGCUGCUGCGGAUCCCUGUCGCUGCUGCUGCCCAUCCGCGGCUCGGCCAGCUCCUACUAUCUUGUUUUAAUUACGCUUCCUGGCCGGGGGGGGGGUUUGCAACAAUGGUUCAAAAACAGGCGCUGGAAAGAGCGACUCACUUGCUGAGCCAUUGAGGAUGUUGUUUAUAUGUUAGAUCCUGUUUUCUUCCUCGAGCAAAGUGCUUCUCCUCCCAGGUGCAUCUCCCACGGCUUUCCCCGCCACGCCAAAGCGCGCGGGAGCUUCCUGAGGCCUCUGUGAACGGGGAGCGGGGCGAGAGCCGGCGGGGCUGCGGCGUGCCGGGCAAAGGCUAUCUGCCCCCCGCCUCGCGGCUCCCAGGCGUCUCAAGGGCUGCCGCUGCCCCAAGAGGUCGGCCGGUUUGUGCCUCCGSUCACAUCGCCCUGAGCUCUCCCAGCGCCGAAGCAGCGCUGGCGGGGAGCUGCUGCUGCAGCAAGGGGGGCCCUGGGCAAACGUCCUGGGCUGGCUGAAACUGCAGCGUGAUGAAUGAAGCCCUCUCCGUGUCGGUGGUGGUGAAUUCAAGAUGCGAUUUAAAUGUGAUGCACGC
This is a long non-coding RNA of Dromaius novaehollandiae (emu), 2218 nucleotides long. NCBI's taxonomy places the organism in Eukaryota, Metazoa, Chordata, Aves, Casuariiformes, Dromaiidae. The record is from Ensembl.